This 1544-nucleotide ribosomal RNA is filed under the name Salmonella enterica. RNAcentral's name for it is "partial 23S ribosomal RNA". It matches the Rfam family "Bacterial large subunit ribosomal RNA", at positions 711 to 2236 of the family's 2925-position model. Lineage: Bacteria; Pseudomonadati; Pseudomonadota; Gammaproteobacteria; Enterobacterales; Enterobacteriaceae. The record is from RNAcentral.
AGACCCGAAACCCGGUGAUCUAGCCAUGGGCAGGUUGAAGGUUGGGUAACACUAACUGGAGGACCGAACCGACUAAUGUUGAAAAAUUAGCGGAUGACCUGUGGCUGGGGGUGAAAGGCCAAUCAAACCGGGAGAUAGCUGGUUCUCCCCGAAAGCUAUUUAGGUAGCGCCUCGUGAAUUCAUCUCCGGGGGUAGAGCACUGUUUCGGCUAGGGGGUCAUCCCGACUUACCAACCCGAUGCAAACUGCGAAUACCGGAGAAUGUUAUCACGGGAGACACACGGCGGGUGCUAACGUCCGUCGUGAAGAGGGAAACAACCCAGACCGCCAGCUAAGGUCCCAAAGUCAUGGUUAAGUGGGAAACGAUGUGGGAAGGCCCAGACAGCCAGGAUGUUGGCUUAGAAGCAGCCAUCAUUUAAAGAAAGCGUAAUAGCUCACUGGUCGAGUCGGCCUGCGCGGAAGAUGUAACGGGGCUAAACCAUGCACCGAAGCUGCGGCAGCGACACUGUGUGUUGUUGGGUAGGGGAGCGUUCUGUAAGCCUGUGAAGGUGGCCUGUGAGGGUUGCUGGAGGUAUCAGAAGUGCGAAUGCUGACAUAAGUAACGAUAAAGCGGGUGAAAAGCCCGCUCGCCGGAAGACCAAGGGUUCCUGUCCAACGUUAAUCGGGGCAGGGUGAGUCGACCCCUAAGGCGAGGCCGAAAGGCGUAGUCGAUGGGAAACGGGUUAAUAUUCCCGUACUUGGUGUUACUGCGAAGGGGGGACGGAGAAGGCUAUGUUGGCCGGGCGACGGUUGUCCCGGUUUAAGCGUGUAGGUGUGUGUUCCAGGUAAAUCCGGUUCACUUUAACACUGAGGCGUGACGACGAGGCACUACGGUGCUGAAGCAACAAAUGCCCUGCUUCCAGGAAAAGCCUCUAAGCAUCAGGUAACAUCAAAUCGUACCCCAAACCGACACAGGUGGUCAGGUAGAGAAUACCAAGGCGCUUGAGAGAACUCGGGUGAAGGAACUAGGCAAAAUGGUGCCGUAACUUCGGGAGAAGGCACGCUGACACGUAGGUGAAGUGAUUUACUCACGGAGCUGAAGUCAGUCGAAGAUACCAGCUGGCUGCAACUGUUUAUUAAAAACACAGCACUGUGCAAACACGAAAGUGGACGUAUACGGUGUGACGCCUGCCCGGUGCCGGAAGGUUAAUUGAUGGGGUCAGCGCAAGCGAAGCUCCUGAUCGAAGCCCCGGUAAACGGCGGCCGUAACUAUAACGGUCCUAAGGUAGCGAAAUUCCUUGUCGGGUAAGUUCCGACCUGCACGAAUGGCGUAAUGAUGGCCAGGCUGUCUCCACCCGAGACUCAGUGAAAUUGAACUCGCUGUGAAGAUGCAGUGUACCCGCGGCAAGACGGAAAGACCCCGUGAACCUUUACUAUAGCUUGACACUGAACAUUGAGCCUUGAUGUGUAGGAUAGGUGGGAGGCUUUGAAGCGUGGACGCCAGUCUGCGUGGAGCCGACCUUGAAAUACCACCCUUUAAUGUUUGAUGUUCUAACGUGGACCCGU